CUGCAGCUCAAGUGGUGACCACUAUUAUUGGGCCUAAAACGUUCGUAGCCGGUUUGGUAAAUGCCUGGGUAAAUCGUGUAGCUUAACUAUACGAAUUCCGGGUAGACUGCCAAACUUGAGACCGGGAGAAGCUAGAGGUACUCCUGGGGUAGAGGUGAAAUUCUGUAAUCCUGGGGGGACCACCAGUGGCGAAGGCGUCUAGCUAGACCGGGUCUGACGGUGAGGAACGAAGCCCUGGGGCGCAAACCGGAUUAGAUACCCGAGUAGUCC
RNAcentral lists this ribosomal RNA (270 nucleotides) under uncultured archaeon. RNAcentral's name for it is "partial 16S ribosomal RNA". It matches the Rfam family "Archaeal small subunit ribosomal RNA", at positions 477 to 747 of the family's 1478-position model. The record is from RNAcentral.